GCAUAGGUGAUUCAGUGGUAGAAUUCUUGCCUGCCAUGCAGGAGGCCCAGGUUUGAUUCCUGGCCCUUGCA
Gorilla gorilla gorilla (western lowland gorilla) is the source of this 71-nucleotide transfer RNA. It matches the Rfam family "tRNA". Rfam says of the family: Transfer RNA (tRNA) molecules are approximately 80 nucleotides in length. Their secondary structure includes four short double-helical elements and three loops (D, anti-codon, and T loops). Lineage: Eukaryota; Metazoa; Chordata; Mammalia; Primates; Hominidae. The record is from Rfam.